UAAGCCAUGCAAGUGCAAGUACGAGUCGCGCGCUUUGACGCGACGACACUGCGAAAGGCUCAUUAAAUCAGUCGUGGUCUACGUGGUCGUGCGGCGACGAGAGUCGUCAAAGGUGGAUAACCGUGGAAAAGCUAGAGCUAAUACAUGCAAGCGAGCGCCGACUUCGGGAGGCGUGCAUUUAUCAGACCGCACGUCGGCCGGGCGUCGGCGGCCCCGGGCUUCGCGGCCCGGUGUGUCGGCCGGCGUCCGUCGAUUGUGGUGACUCUGGAUAACUUAUCGUGCUGAUCGCCGGUCCGUUCGAGAUCGGGCGACGAACCACUCGAGCGUCUGACCUAUCAACUGUUGUCGGUAAGGUCUCGGCCUACCGAGGUUCUCACGGGUGACGGGGAAUCAGGGUUCGAUUCCGGAGAGGGAGCCUGAGAAACGGCUGCCACUUCCAAGGAAGGCAGCAGGCGCGCAAAUUACCCAUUUCAGACUCUGAGAGGUAGUGACGAGAAAUACCGAUGCCGGGCCUCGACGGGCGCCGACAAUCGAAAUGAGCGCAGCUCAAAACACUGAUGUCGUUCCGUUCAUCGGUCGCGUGAGUCGUGAGACGGCGCGGCCGCUUGGACGUGUGUCGUGCAAGUAUCGAUCGGAGGGCAAGUCUGGUGCCAGCAGCCGCGGUAAUUCCAGCUCCGAAAGCGUAUGCUCAUGCUGUUGCGGUUGAAAAGCUCGUAGUUGGAAAUAAGCUUUUCGCCGUUCGCGCGCCGGCCGCAAGGCCGCGCGUCGCGAUCGAAACGAAAGACGGACGGUGUUCGGCGGGCGCGUUCCGAAAGGGCGCGUUCGGGCGAGCCCGAAGGCGAGCGGCCGGCGUGGCUCCCAUCUCGAUGGAAGUUGCACGUCGAGAGUCGUUCGCAGGUUGCCCUGAAGAAAUUGAAGCGAUCAGGGCGGGUCGACGCUAAGCAAAGACUCGUGCCGCGAGGUUCGAAGUCGACCGAGAACAGUCGUGCAUGGUACAACGGAAGACGGCCGCGGCUCCGCCGCCGGCGUCGAGAUAUGUGCGCGUGGCAAUGAUCAAGAGGGACGGACGGGGGCAUUCGUACUGUGCCGGGAGGGGUGAAAUCUGUGGAUCGGCGCAAGACGAACAGAAGCGAAGGCGUCUGCCAAGGACGUUUUCCUUAAUCAAGAGCGAAAGUCGGAGGUUCGAAGACGAUCAGAUACCGUCGUAGUUCCGACCGUAAACGAUGCCGACCGCAUGGUCGCUCACGUAUUCAAAGAUCUCGUCAGGUCGCGCUCCGCGCGUGCCGGUGCUCGCGCGUCUUCGGACGGUCUGCGAGACCGUGCGCGUCGUGGUCGGGGCCGAGGGAUCGGGCAUGUCGGGGUGGCCGUGCCGGGAGGGAAACCGGAGUCUUCGGGUUCCGGGGGAAGUAUGGUUGCAAAGCUGAAACUUGAAGGAAUUGACGGAAGGGCACCACCAGGAGUGGAGCCUGCGGCUUAAUUUGACUCAAAGCGGGGAAACUCACCCGGCCCGGACGUUACGAGGAUUGACAGAUUGAAAGCUCUUUCUCGAUUUAGCGGAUGGUGGUGCAUGGCCGUUCUUAGUUCGUGGAACGAUUCGUCUGGUUGAUUCCGAUAACGAACGAGACUCGAAUUUACUCAUGUAUGCGAGCCCGAUGCUGUGCGUCGUUCGGUCUCUCGCGGGCGAGCGCCUUUCGGGGUGCGCGUCCAAGGGAAGGCCGCUCGUCGCCAGGUUGUGCGAUCGGGUCGUGUUCGCGGCGACGGAACUCGCGCGCGGCACGAAAGUAUUCUCAGAAGGACCGGCGGCGGUUAAGCCGCACGAGAUCGAGCGAUAACAGGUCUGUGAUGCCCUUCGAUGUUCGGGGCCGCACGCGUGCUACAAUGGUCGGAGCAGCAAGAGGACCGGAACGACGCAGCGCCGUCGGUCUCGUGCGCGGUCGCGUUCGCGCGCGGCCGCCUCGAGAUGGUCCGCGGGCCGAGAGGCUCGUGAAACCAAACGAAACCA
Molecule: ribosomal RNA, 2002 nt
Filed under: Didemnum sp. B NZsp.B17
Lineage: Eukaryota; Metazoa; Chordata; Ascidiacea; Aplousobranchia; Didemnidae
Description: partial 18S ribosomal RNA
Rfam family: Eukaryotic small subunit ribosomal RNA
Source: RNAcentral